Molecule: long non-coding RNA, 777 nt
Filed under: Homo sapiens (human)
Lineage: Eukaryota; Metazoa; Chordata; Mammalia; Primates; Hominidae
Description: HSALNT0046121
Source: RNAcentral
GUAAAAAUGGCUGCCAACAGCCCUCGGCCCGUAUCCCCUGCUUAGUAACACUGUUGGAAUGAGCCAGUCUUCCCUUCAAGUGCUCAUGGAGAAUUCUGGGGGAGGACACUGAUUGGUCCAGCUUGGGUCACAAGGGUAUCUUUCCACCAAUGACUUUCACCAGGAUGGGAUUCUCUGAUUGGUUCAGCUUGUGUCACAUGACAUCUUGUAGUAGGGAUUGAAGAGAGACCAGCUUCAUCUCCACUCGACCAACAUGAUGCAGGUUUUCUACUGGAAUGCCGAGUUAUUUCAGGACAAGGGGGAAGAGCUACAGGCCAGUCAACAACACCAGCUGCCCAUCCCAGCAGGAUCACUCUAAGGCAUCCCCUUUACCAUGCAUCACUUGGGGCUGGGCUGAAGAGGUGAUUCCAGCUCCAGUGAAUAAGUACAAGCUAAGAACAAGUGACAGCACUGAACAGAAAGCAAGCCAAAAAGGGUCUUUAGCUGCUUUGCUCAGAACUGGAAUCCUUGUGCAUUUGCUGUCUGGAGAACUGAGUAACGAAAAUGCUGGGGCUGGGCCCAAGCCUGAUAUUCAAGCAGACCUUGAUAAAGCGCUCUGAGAAAUUGCCUUGCUUCAGGCUGGGUCCCUGCCAUGUGACAAUGGACACAGCGCUGAAGAACCAACUAUGAACAAGACAAAAGAUUGCUGCCCUCAUGGAACUUUCUGUCCAGAUGGAGAGACAGACAAUUAAACAGCUGACAACUGAAGACAGCCCAAGUGUUCAUCAACGAAAGAAU